AGGUCCUGAGUAAACUGCUUGCAAGGAGAGCUCCGGUGUUGCGUCUUCCUUGCUGGUCGAGGCAGUCGUGACAAAUGGUGGCCUGUACGGGAUUCUCCUCUCCUCUCCCUGGAGCCCAGAACUUGCAGCAGUCACGGGGUACACCGGUAAGUCCUCAAGGAUCAUUUGGACCCUAUUUGGGUACCGGAACGUUUGGUGAGAAAAGUACAGGUGCGAGGAACGACAAGCAAGAUGAAACCUCAGACUAUUGGCUGAGAAUCUUACAAAGAAUGGUAACCUGAGCCGGCAGCUGAGCGCAUACCUCCAGGGAAACUGGAGCACAGAGUUCGAGACCCUGACGGACACCCUGACUAACCAGAUCAUUUCCCUGAAUGCCACACGGCUGGAAUUACCUACUGCUGAUGCUUUUCUUAAUAUGCUGAAACGGACUUUUAGUUAUUUUAAGGAGUGGGCGGGAAUAGGAGCCCUGACAGGCCUAAUGGUGCUUGCCUCCCUGGUAUGUCUGUGGUGCAUUUGUCGCAUGAGAGCCUCACAAUGUCGCAGUGAAGCAAUGAUCAUUCAAGCCUUCAUGGCUAUUGAAGCAGGACAGUCCCCCCAAGCUUGGUUAAAUACUUUAAAAGAUAUAUAAGCACAGGAUGCGAGGCUUGCACACUGCACUUGAGGGUAAUUACAUCUACCUCAAGAAGAGCAAGUCUGACUGCACAUGGACCGGUGCCUAACUCCCACCUCUGUAAAAAGGGCACCGAGCGGGUCUAGUGUUUUCUGGGUGGAUGACACCUGGAGAAACGCUGGUACAUGCUCUAAUUCGUAAAGAGAUCAGACCUCUACUCUUGCCUGUCGCUUUUAAAACAAAAAAGGGGGAACUGUAGAGAGCUGCGUAGAGCCGCACCUAAAAGAUGGUGCUGGCUUCCGCCUUCAGCGAUCCCGAAAGCGAGUGCUCUCAGUGGUAAACACCUUAUUUGGCUAAGACCAGGAUCACGUGAUGAUCGUAAGCUGCUUGCGUAUAAGUGGACCUAUGGACAGUGCCCACGUGGAGAUCCAGGAUUGGUAGCCCAGGGCUACUUAAGGACUGGGAGGAGCUUGCCCGGAGAGAGAAACUAUUGUAACAAGGUUCUGAGUAAACUGCUCAGAAGAGCAAGAAGA
This is a non-coding RNA of Myodes glareolus (Bank vole), 1143 nucleotides long. The record is from RefSeq and is a predicted model, not a curated record. NCBI's taxonomy places the organism in Eukaryota, Metazoa, Chordata, Mammalia, Rodentia, Cricetidae.